This 738-nucleotide ribosomal RNA is filed under the name Triticum aestivum (bread wheat). RNAcentral describes it as "partial small subunit ribosomal RNA". The record is from RNAcentral. Lineage: Eukaryota; Viridiplantae; Streptophyta; Magnoliopsida; Poales; Poaceae.
AUGAAAUAUCCGACAUGGAGAGGUACACGUCUUCCGAGAUCCGUUGGUGUCGUCUUAAGGCUUCUUGCCUAUCUCAGUUCAUUCUUGGUGUGGUCCUUUUAUUUUGCUACGUUGCCUCUUUCUGGGGAUACAAGGAGGAUCUUGGCGGCUAUUCAGGAGUUAAAGAAGGAGGUGAAAGAAUUGAAGGACAAAAUGCAGCAACACGUCCAGGAACCUCCAAUUGUGCUUCCACCUCGAAGGAAACCGAUAUAUAAGCUAGUAUUCAAAAGUGACCUGACUGGUCCUCUCCUAACAACAAAAAAAGAUGGCAUGAGCGGGCCAAUUUGUUAUACAAACCAGCCUAUACCCACGAAGGACGGGAACGUCAUAACGGUGGUUCUCCAGGAUUUGGACGGAAAUCAAGUUACAACUGGCGACGUUGCUUCACUGAUGGUUGAGCUAGUUUUCCUGAACCCAGAUUUCUAUGAUGGCAAAGAAGACACGGACUGGCCCGAGGCACAUUUUACGAAACACAUAAUAAUGCUGCUAAAUGAGACAAUCAAAAAGCCCAGAUUUCGUCUGAUUGGUGGGAAAGGUACUGUUCAUAAGGACACCAAAUUUGAUCGGUCCACUAAUAAACACUGGGUCAAGCUUGGGGUAAAGUUUUGUGAGCAUUCCGAUGAAAGUGUUCUCGAAGGUGUAUCAAAUGUAUUCACAGUGCAGAAUUUCUCAGGUAAUAUACAAGAAAAGAAAACGUAG